RNAcentral lists this transfer RNA (65 nucleotides) under Aguriahana triangularis. RNAcentral describes it as "tRNA-Pro". The record is from RNAcentral. Lineage: Eukaryota; Metazoa; Arthropoda; Insecta; Hemiptera; Cicadellidae.
CAGCUAAUAGUUUAUAUAAAAUUUAAUCUUUGGAAGCUUAAGAAGUAUGUUAAAUACUUUGCUGA